AAAGUACAAAAGACCAGAUGCUAACCAGUUUCUUUCCAUACAUUUUAGGCUACAUAACGGCGAGGCAUUCUUUCCAUGGUUACUAGACAUGGUUAGUCCAAACCUCCA
Long non-coding RNA from Xiphophorus hellerii (green swordtail), 108 nucleotides. RefSeq lists it as uncharacterized. Lineage: Eukaryota; Metazoa; Chordata; Actinopteri; Cyprinodontiformes; Poeciliidae. The record is from RefSeq and is a predicted model, not a curated record. The transcript is spliced from 3 exons.